CUUUUACUUCACUACAUUCCUAAAGAAAAUAAUGAACGUUUUACUCCAAUAUUUUUUCACUGACACCAAAAAGUACCAGUUAUAUUUUGAAUGUUUAUCAAGAGUGGAAAACGGUCCAGAGACAAUCCCUGGUCAUCCCAACUGCCUCUAAUCUGGCUGACUCACUAAACACAAAUAAAUUAUGUCUGAGUGUUGGAGUGUGCCCCUGGCUGUACAUUUUAAAAAACAUGAACAUUUGAGCAAUUUAAAAUAAUUUAUGCUUUUACUUUUGAUACUUAAGUAUAUUUUCACAAUUGCAUUUACUUUUGAUAGUUAAGUAUAUUUAAAAUCAAACAAUUUUAGAGGCUUACUUGUAGUAUUUUACAGUGAAACUUUCACUUUCUUUUGAGUCAUUUUCUACUUGGGUAUCUUUACUUUUACUCAAGUAUGAAAAUUGGGUACUUUUUCCACUACUGGCAGUAUGAAACAUGAGUGACCAAGUGGUCCAGCUCUCCUCAGCCUCCCACCAUGAAGACAUGAGUGACCAAGUGGUCCAGCUCUCCUCAGCCUCCCACCAUGAAGACAUGAGUGACCAAGUGGUCCAGCUCUCCUCAGCCUCCCACCAUGAAGACAUGAGUGACCAAGUGGUCCAGCUCUCCUCAGCCUCCCACCAUGAAGACAUGAGUGACCAAGUGGUCCAGCUCUCCUCAGCCUCCCACCAUGAAGACAUGCUUCAGUCAAUUCACCAGCUGAGACUGUACAGCCACCUGCGUGAUGUCACAGUCCAGGUGGGCUGGAGGAAUUUGAGGCUCACCAGGUGGUACGAGCUGCCUCCAGCGGCUACUUCAAGAACAUCCUACUGGCCCCGGAUCCACCUAAGAAACUAUUCCCGGGGAACGUCCGAAACACUGAUUAUACCUGGUUCUUGGAAUAUAUAUACACUGGCAAACUGGAGGUGGAUGAAAAGUUUGCUGAAGACAAGAUUGGCGUGUGAAGUGGCGACACUGUUCGAGUGUAAAAGCCCUUAUGGAGGCUUGCAGCUCGGUUCUCGAUGAAGGCAGCUCGAGUCCUCACGAGGCUAAAUCAUCCAUGUCACAAGACAUGGAGGCUGAUUUGGAUAAUGUAGAGGACGGGGUGCUGGGGGUCGGAGUAAACAAAAUUCCCAAAAGAGCCUCCACCAAGAGGCCGACCUAUCCAACAAGACCAGAGAGGACGUUGAAAAGGGCAACGGUCCCGGUCAAAGCCGAGGAGGAGAAAUCAGAGGUGAAUGAAGACGCUGAGAUCUCUGGGAGGAGAAGUAACAGGCUGGCAGGCCGCAGAGUCUUCGUUGACAUUCCUAAGUACAUGAGGAAGAUGAAGGACCAGACCAAGACGCAGACGGGAGGAUCUGCCUGACAACACUCAGACCAAGACAGCCGGUCAAGAGGAGAACACUGCGAAUACACAGAAGGGAGGCAGGAGAGGCCCUUCCAGAGCUGCUGCCUGAAAAAGAGGGGGCGGGGCUGAGGUCAACAGACUUCGAUGAUGUGGAAGGAGAUAUACCCGAGGAUUGUCCUGAUGACUCACUUUUCUUCCCCAGGAAGGAAGCGAUGGGACGAGCCACGGUGUGCAGGAGGAGGUGACAUACCGUUAUGACACCUGCCAGCAGAUUUUUGCCAACCUUUGAAACCCGAGGAUCCAUCAGAGACACGUCCACAGUGACGAGAGUGUACCCCUGCGACGUCUGCACCAAGACUUUCAAACGCAUGAAGGACGUGACGCGCCUCCAACGACAGGUGCAUUCGGGAGGCGGAGUGCGGCACACCGGUCUUGUAACAGGGCACUGAGCUCUAAGACAGCGUUGAGGUGGAGGGGGAGAGUGGAGUUGGAGGUAGGCCCCAGGACGGGGCCAUGUUGGUACAUGGUCAAUGAUCCAACACACCUCCAGGCUGUGUAAGGGCUAUUUGACGAAGGAG
Oncorhynchus gorbuscha (pink salmon) is the source of this 1934-nucleotide long non-coding RNA. RefSeq lists it as uncharacterized. The record is from RefSeq and is a predicted model, not a curated record. Lineage: Eukaryota; Metazoa; Chordata; Actinopteri; Salmoniformes; Salmonidae. The transcript has 5 exons.